This 207-nucleotide ribosomal RNA is filed under the name uncultured bacterium. RNAcentral's name for it is "partial 16S ribosomal RNA". It matches the Rfam family "Bacterial small subunit ribosomal RNA", at positions 524 to 723 of the family's 1533-position model. The record is from RNAcentral.
UACGGGGGGGGGCAAGCGUUGUUCGGAAUUACUGGGCGUAAAGCGAGUGUAGGCGGUUCGAUAAGUCGGAUGUGAAAGCCCCCGGGCUCAACCCGGGAAGUGCACUCGAUACUGGUCGAGCUAGAGUAUCGGGAGAGGUUGGUGGAAUUCUCGGUGAUAGAGGUGAAAUUCGUAGAUAUCGAGAGGAACACCGGUGGCGGAAAGGCG